This 451-nucleotide ribosomal RNA is filed under the name uncultured bacterium. RNAcentral describes it as "partial 16S ribosomal RNA". It matches the Rfam family "Bacterial small subunit ribosomal RNA", at positions 29 to 523 of the family's 1533-position model. The record is from RNAcentral.
AGCGAACGCUGGCGGCAGGCUUAACACAUGCAAGUCGAGCGGGCAUAGCAAUAUGUCAGCGGCAGACGGGUGAGUAACGCGUGGGAGCGUACCUUUUGGUUCGGAACAACACAGGGAAACUUGUGCUAAUACCGGAUAAGCCCUUACGGGGAAAGAUUUAUCGCCGAAAGAUCGGCCCGCGUCUGAUUAGCUAGUUGGUGAGGUAAUGGCUCACCAAGGCGACGAUCAGUAGCUGGUCUGAGAGGAUGAUCAGCCACAUUGGGACUGAGACACGGCCCAAACUCCUACGGGAGGCAGCAGUGGGGAAUAUUGGACAAUGGGCGCAAGCCUGAUCCAGCCAUGCCGCGUGAGUGAUGAAGGCCCUAGGGUUGUAAAGCUCUUCUGUGCGGGAAGAUAAUGACGGUACCGCAAGAAUAAGCCCCGGCUAACUUCGUGCCAGCCGCCGCGGUAA